Molecule: ribosomal RNA, 562 nt
Filed under: uncultured Paracoccaceae bacterium
Lineage: Bacteria; Pseudomonadati; Pseudomonadota; Alphaproteobacteria; Rhodobacterales; Paracoccaceae
Description: bacterial SSU rRNA
Rfam family: Bacterial small subunit ribosomal RNA
Source: RNAcentral
UCCUACGGGAGGCAGCAGUGGGGAAUCUUGGACAAUGGGCGCAAGCCUGAUCCAGCCAUGCCGCGUGAGUGAUGAAGGCCCUAGGGUCGUAAAGCUCUUUCGCCAGGGAUGAUAAUGACAGUACCUGGUAAAGAAACCCCGGCUAACUCCGUGCCAGCAGCCGCGGUAAUACGGAGGGGGUUAGCGUUGUUCGGAAUUACUGGGCGUAAAGCGCGCGUAGGCGGACUAGAAAGUUGGGGGUGAAAUCCCGGAGCUCAACUCCGGAACUGCCUCCAAAACUCCUAGUCUAGAGUUCGAGAGAGGUGAGUGGAAUUCCGAGUGUAGAGGUGAAAUUCGUAGAUAUUCGGAGGAACACCAGUGGCGAAGGCGGCUCACUGGCUCGAUACUGACGCUGAGGUGCGAAAGUGUGGGGAGCAAACAGGAUUAGAUACCCUGGUAGUCCACACCGUAAACGAUGAAUGCCAGACGUCGGGUAGCAUGCUAUUCGGUGUCACACCUAACGGAUUAAGCAUUCCGCCUGGGGAGUACGGUCGCAAGAUUAAAACUCAAAUGAAUUGACGGA